AAAUGCAAAACACAUUUUCCUUUACUCACAUUUGGACAAAUGUAUUUUUGUUUUUGCAUUAGUGUGACGACAUUGACACAAGGAGGAGCGUGUUCCCAAAAGUUUGGCGAUCUACUUGACUGAAGAUCCAGACUCUUUCUUCAAGGAAUAUUUUAAUGCAUCAUGUCUGGAUCAUCUGAAGGUACUCAUAAGAACCUGACACUGGAGGUCACUUUUCAAUGACCAGACCUCUUCCACUGAAAACGACAUCGCAGAAAGGACUCCAGCUACACUCAAAAA
Oryzias melastigma (Indian medaka) is the source of this 279-nucleotide long non-coding RNA. RefSeq lists it as uncharacterized. NCBI's taxonomy places the organism in Eukaryota, Metazoa, Chordata, Actinopteri, Beloniformes, Adrianichthyidae. The record is from RefSeq and is a predicted model, not a curated record. The transcript is spliced from 3 exons.